Molecule: long non-coding RNA, 304 nt
Organism: Drosophila busckii
Lineage: Eukaryota; Metazoa; Arthropoda; Insecta; Diptera; Drosophilidae
Exons: 3
Source: RefSeq, a predicted model, not a curated record
GGCAAUUUCUCUUAAAUAUAUUUAUUAUAUACAUACAUAUAUUUUUAUUAUGAACACGUCGAACCUUAAGCAAUUGAGCAUUGACUAAACCGACACAUUUUCUGGGCCUGUCAAAAGAAAAACAUUCCCUUACCUCAGAAAUUCCAAAGAGCGAAAAACAACUGUCAAAAGCAAAAGCAAAACACGUUUAUUAUUCGAACAAAUUAAUACAUCAAACAACGAAAACAAAAUCGAAUACUCCAAGCCCUUGUUGAACAAAUGGAGCUCAAAGAAUUAAAUUGUAUUUUCGAAACUGAAAAGCAAA